This 501-nucleotide ribosomal RNA is filed under the name uncultured Glomus. RNAcentral's name for it is "SSU rRNA". It matches the Rfam family "Eukaryotic small subunit ribosomal RNA", at positions 569 to 1075 of the family's 1831-position model. The record is from RNAcentral. Lineage: Eukaryota; Fungi; Glomeromycota; Glomeromycetes; Glomerales; Glomeraceae.
AGCAGCCGCGGUAAUUCCAGCUCCAAUAGCGUAUAUUAAAGUUGUUGCAGUUAAAAAGCUCGUAGUUGAAUUUCGGGAUCAAUAUGUUGGUCGUGCCUUGGUACGUACUGGCAUUAUCGAUUCCUACCUUCUGAAGAAUCUCGAUGUCAUUAAUUUGGUGUCUUGGGGAAUCAGGACUGUUACUUUGAAAAAUUAGAGUGUUUAAAGCAGGCUCGCGCUUGAAUACAUUAGCAUGGAAUAAUGAAAUAGGACGUUUGAUUCUAUUUUGUUGGUUUCUAGGAUUGACGUAAUGAUUAAUAGGGAUAGUUGGGGGCAUUAGUAUUCAAUUGUCAGAGGUGAAAUUCUUGGAUUUAUUGAAGACUAACUACUGCGAAAGCAUUUGCCAAGGAUGUUUUCAUUAAUCAAGAACGAAAGUUAGGGGAUCGAAGACGAUCAGAUACCGUCGUAGUCUUAACCAUAAAACUNUGCCGACUAGGGAUCGGAUGAUGUUAAUUUUAAUGU